RNAcentral lists this ribosomal RNA (503 nucleotides) under Shewanella sp. 1SW2S7. RNAcentral's name for it is "bacterial SSU rRNA". It matches the Rfam family "Bacterial small subunit ribosomal RNA", at positions 382 to 877 of the family's 1533-position model. Lineage: Bacteria; Pseudomonadati; Pseudomonadota; Gammaproteobacteria; Alteromonadales; Shewanellaceae. The record is from RNAcentral. RNAcentral also lists the same sequence under 2 other names.
CCUGAUGCAGCCAUGCCGCGUGUGUGAAGAAGCCCUUCGGGUUGUAAAGCACUUUCAGCGAGGAGGAAAGGUUACUGGCUAAUAUCCAGUAGCUGUGACGUUACUCGCAGAAGAAGCACCGGCUAACUCCGUGCCAGCAGCCGCGGUAAUACGGAGGGUGCGAGCGUUAAUCGGAAUUACUGGGCGUAAAGCGUGCGCAGGCGGUUUGUUAAGCGAGAUGUGAAAGCCCCGGGCUCAACCUGGGAACUGCAUUUUGAACUGGCAAACUAGAGUCUUGUAGAGGGGGGUAGAAUUCCAGGUGUAGCGGUGAAAUGCGUAGAGAUCUGGAGGAAUACCGGUGGCGAAGGCGGCCCCCUGGACAAAGACUGACGCUCAUGCACGAAAGCGUGGGGAGCAAACAGGAUUAGAUACCCUGGUAGUCCACGCCGUAAACGAUGUCUACUCGGAGUUUGGUGUCUUGAACACUGGGCUCUCAAGCUAACGCAUUAAGUAGACCGCCUGGG